Molecule: long non-coding RNA, 463 nt
Organism: Phyllopteryx taeniolatus (common seadragon)
Lineage: Eukaryota; Metazoa; Chordata; Actinopteri; Syngnathiformes; Syngnathidae
Exons: 3
Source: RefSeq, a predicted model, not a curated record
CUCGCCACACAUUCCACUGAAGUGCACCCUGUAACACAAGGCAUGACAAGAUUUACAAGAAUGAGAAUAUCACAAAACAAAACUAGUGUAAUACAUUUUAGUAGGCUUGUUUUGUUAAAAUCAAAUCGAAAUGCCUCAUUGCAGGGGAGAAGAGGAAAAAAAAAAAGAUAGCGACAUGAGUGUUGGAAUUGUGUGACUUCUGUGGACUUUGAAAGCCACGGCAUGGCGCUCUGGUAACCACAACAAUCUACCAGAAUGUUUUUGAGGACUUCAUGAUUCCUUCUGCUGAGGAUCUGUAUGGAGAUGCAGAUUUCCUCUUCCAGCAGGACCUGGCCUCUGCCCAUACUGCCAGAAGCACCAAAACCCGCUUUGAUGCCCAAGCCAUCACAGUGCUUGACUGGCCAGCCAACUCGCCGGUUCUAAGCCCCAUUGAGAAUCUAUGGGGUAUCAUCAAGAGGAAAAU